UCCAGCCGAAUUCCAGGCUUCCAACAAUCGAGGAACUAAAUUCGAGUUUGCCAUACAAGCUUCCAUUCUUUGAGAACUCCGAGGUCGAUCUGAGGCCACUUCUAAAGAAUCUUUUGCCAGUGUGGGAGGUUGACGAAGAUGAUACUCUCUGGGAUCGUGAUUCUCUACUUGCAGAGAUUCAACUCAAAUUCAAUGAAGAACGCAGGAAACAACGUAGUGAGAACUCGCAUUGAUAAAGGUGUGUUUUAUUUUAUAUUUCUCUCGAGAAACCAU
Long non-coding RNA from Selaginella moellendorffii, 273 nucleotides. RefSeq lists it as uncharacterized. NCBI's taxonomy places the organism in Eukaryota, Viridiplantae, Streptophyta, Lycopodiopsida, Selaginellales, Selaginellaceae. The transcript has 4 exons. The record is from RefSeq and is a predicted model, not a curated record.